RNAcentral lists this long non-coding RNA (351 nucleotides) under Heterocephalus glaber (naked mole-rat). Its description in RNAcentral is "lncRNA (ENSHGLG00000035257.1)". Lineage: Eukaryota; Metazoa; Chordata; Mammalia; Rodentia; Bathyergidae. The record is from RNAcentral.
GCCUGAAUCCCUGGGCAUCUGGUGGAUCGAAUUUGGAUGAAGGAGACUGGAAGAAGAAUGCUAUCCAGAUGCAAGUUGUGACUUUGGAGAUGAUCUGAAUGAAGCAUCCAGCCCAGUGUGCUCUGCAGAGAGAGGCCCUGGGCAUCAGUGAGGAAGAACCAGCCCUAACCUGAUGGAGAUCUGGAAGCAUUCUGAUCUUCUGAGCUCCGACAAGAAUCUCCCACCAAGAAUGGCUUAAAGCAUUCCAGAGCUGCUUCUUCAGCUGGCAUCUCCAAACCUUUCCAAACUCUUCUUGAAAGCCAGUUCUAAAGGCUCCUGAACCACAUGGUCAGGUAAUGUAUAGCAACAAAC